CAUGUCCUUUUGAAUAUAAUUUAAGGUCUGAUCUGCUCAAUGAAUUUUAAAUAGCCGCAGUAUUUUGACUGUGCUAAGGUAGCAUAAUAAUUAGUUUCUUAAUUAGGAACUGGAAUGAAUGAUUGGACAAGAAAAUUUCUGUCUCUUUUUUAAUUAUUGAAUUUUAUUUUUAAGUGAAAAAGCUUAAAUGUUUAUAAAAGACGAGAAGACCCUAUAGAGUUUAAUAUUUUUUUUUAAUUAUAAAUUAGAAUAUUCUUUUAAAUUAAAUUAUUUGGUUGGGGUGAUUUAAAGAUAUAAUUAAUUCUUUAAAAUAAUAAUUAAAGAUUUUUAAAUUUUAAAUCUAUAGUUUAUAAAACUAAAAUAAAUUACCUUAGGGAUAACAGCGUAAUUUUUCUUUAAAGUUCUUAUUAUAAGGAAAGUUUGCGACCUCGAUGUUGGAUUAAAAUAAAUUUUUGGUGCAAUAACUAAAAAAUUAGGUCUGUUCGACCUUUAAAAUUUUACAUGAUCUGAGUUUAGACCGGUGUGAACCAGGUUGGAUUCUAUCUUUAUAUAAAAAAUAUAUUUUAGUACGAAAGGACCAAAUAUAUAUUAAAUUAAUUGU
RNAcentral lists this ribosomal RNA (601 nucleotides) under Cautires maseki. RNAcentral describes it as "partial 16S ribosomal RNA". It matches the Rfam family "Bacterial large subunit ribosomal RNA", at positions 1816 to 2715 of the family's 2925-position model. The record is from RNAcentral. Lineage: Eukaryota; Metazoa; Arthropoda; Insecta; Coleoptera; Lycidae.